GGGUGAGUAACACGUGGGUAACCUACCUAGAUGACCGGGACAACCCGAGGAAACUCGGGCUAAUACCGGAUGUGCUCCUUCCCUUCAAGGGGAUUGAGGAAAGAUAGCUUCGGCCUUCGCAUCUAGAUGGGCCCGCGGCCCAUUAGCUUGUUGGUGAGGUAACGGCUCACCAAGGCUUCGAUGGGUAGCUGGUCUGAGAGGACGAUCAGCCACACUGGGACUGAGACACGGCCCAGACUCCUACGGGAGGCAGCAGUGGGGAAUCUUGCGCAAUGCGCGAAAGCGUGACGCAGCAACGCCGCGUGGGGGAAGACGGCCUUCGGGUUGUAAACCCCUUUCAGGAGGGACGAAGGUUCGCCGGUUAAUAGCCGGCCGGAUUGACGGUACCUCCAGAAGAAGCCCCGGCUAACUACGUGCCAGCAGCCGCGGUAAUACGUAGGGGGCAAGCGUUGUCCGGAAUCAUUGGGCGUAAAGCGCGUGUAGGCGGUUUGGUAAGUCCGCUCUGAAAGUCCGGGGCUCAACCCCGGAAGGCGGGUGGAUACUGUCAGACUAGAGUGCGGAAGAGGCGAGUGGAAUUCCCGGUGUAGCGGUGAAAUGCGCAGAUAUCGGGAGGAACACCAAUUGCGAAGGCAGCUCGCUGGGACGUAACUGACGCUGAGACGCGAAAGCGUGGGGAGCAAACAGGAUUAGAUACCCUGGUAGUCCACGCCGUAAACGAUGGGCACUAGGUGUGGGGGGGUGUCGACUCCCUCUGUGCCGAAGCUAACGCAUUAAGUGCCCCGCCUGGGGAGUACGGCCGCAAGGCUAAAACUCAAAGGAUUUGACGGGGGCCCGCACAAGCAGCGGAGCAUGUGGUUUAAUUCGACGCAACGCGAAGAA
This 879-nucleotide ribosomal RNA is filed under the name uncultured bacterium. RNAcentral describes it as "bacterial SSU rRNA". It matches the Rfam family "Bacterial small subunit ribosomal RNA", at positions 104 to 968 of the family's 1533-position model. The record is from RNAcentral.